RNAcentral lists this unclassified non-coding RNA (36 nucleotides) under Echinococcus granulosus. RNAcentral's name for it is "trans-spliced leader sequence". The record is from RNAcentral. Lineage: Eukaryota; Metazoa; Platyhelminthes; Cestoda; Cyclophyllidea; Taeniidae.
ACCGUUAAUCGGUCCUUACCUUGCAAUUUUGUAUGG